UGCUCCGGUGGUCUAAGAUCAUAAGAUGCACAGCUGUCAACUGCGGGAUGCAGGUGUAAGUCCUGCCCGGGGCAACC
Molecule: transfer RNA, 77 nt
Filed under: Gimesia panareensis
Lineage: Bacteria; Pseudomonadati; Planctomycetota; Planctomycetia; Planctomycetales; Planctomycetaceae
Description: Planctomycetes bacterium Enr10 tRNA-Asp
Rfam family: tRNA
About the family: Transfer RNA (tRNA) molecules are approximately 80 nucleotides in length. Their secondary structure includes four short double-helical elements and three loops (D, anti-codon, and T loops). Further hydrogen bonds mediate the characteristic L-shaped molecular structure. tRNAs have two regions of fundamental functional importance: the anti-codon, which is responsible for specific mRNA codon recognition, and the 3' end, to which the tRNAs corresponding amino acid is attached (by aminoacyl-tRNA synthetases). tRNAs cope with the degeneracy of the genetic code in two manners: having more than one tRNA (with a specific anti-codon) for a particular amino acid; and 'wobble' base-pairing, i.e. permitting non-standard base-pairing at the 3rd anti-codon position.
Source: RNAcentral